This 246-nucleotide ribosomal RNA is filed under the name uncultured bacterium. RNAcentral describes it as "partial 16S ribosomal RNA". It matches the Rfam family "Bacterial small subunit ribosomal RNA", at positions 523 to 769 of the family's 1533-position model. The record is from RNAcentral.
AUACGUAGGUGGCAAGCGUUGUCCGGAAUUACUGGGUGUAAAGGGAGCGCAGGCGGGGAGACAAGUCAGCUGUGAAAUGUAUGGGCUUAACCCAUAAAUUGCAGUUGAAACUGUUUUCUUGAGUGGAGUAGAGGUAGGCGGAAUUCCGAGUGUAGCGGUGAAAUGCGUAGAUAUUGGGAGGAACACCAGUGGCGAAGGCGCCUUUCUGGACUGUGUCUGACGCUGAGAUGCGAAAGCCAGGGUAGC